AACGCUUUGUGGUUCAACUGAUUUGAAGAGCUUGCUCAGAUAUGACGAUGAACAUUGCAAAGAGUGGCGAACGGGUGAGUAACACGUGGGAAACCUACCUCUUAGCAGGGGAUAACAUUUGGAAACAGAUGCUACUACCGUAUAACAAUGACAACCGCAUGGUUGUUAUUUAAAAGAUGGUUCUGCUAUCACUAAGAGAUGGUCCCGCGGUGCAUUAGCUAGUUGGUAAGGUAAUGGCUUACCAAGGCGAUGAUGCAUAGCCGAGUUGAGAGACUGAUCGGCCACAAUGGGACUGAGACACGGCCCAUACUCCUACGGGAGGCAGCAGUAGGGAAUCUUCCACAAUGGGCGAAAGCCUGAUGGAGCAACGCCGCGUGUGUGAUGAAGGGUUUCGGCUCGUAAAACACUGUUGUAAGAGAAGAAUGACAUUGAGAGUAACUGUUCAAUGUGUGACGGUAUCUUACCAGAAAGGAGCGGCUAAAUACGUGCCAGCAGCCGCGGUAAUACGUAUGUUCCAAGCGUUAUCCGGAUUUAUUGGGCGUAAAGCGAGCGCAGGCGGUUAUUUAAGUCUGAAGUGAAAGCCCUCAGCUCAACUGANGAAUUGCUUUGGAAACUGGAUGACUUGAGUGCAGUAAGGAAAGUGGAACUCCAUGCGUAGCGGUGAAAUGCGUAGAUAUAUGGAAGAACACCACUGGCGAAAGCAGCUCUCUGGACUGUAACUGACAUUGAGGCUCGCACGUGUGGGUAGCAAACACGAUCAGAUACACAGGUAGUCCACACCGUAGACGAUCAGUGCUAGUGUNUGAUGGUUUGCGGCCCUUCACU
RNAcentral lists this ribosomal RNA (825 nucleotides) under uncultured Weissella sp. Its description in RNAcentral is "bacterial SSU rRNA". It matches the Rfam family "Bacterial small subunit ribosomal RNA", at positions 50 to 844 of the family's 1533-position model. The record is from RNAcentral. Lineage: Bacteria; Bacillati; Bacillota; Bacilli; Lactobacillales; Lactobacillaceae.